GAACGUACGCUGGCGGCACGCCUAACACAUGCAAGUCGAACGAAGUAGCAAUACUUAGUGGCAGACGGGUGAGUAACAUGUAGGUAUCUGCCCUUUGGCCUGGAAUAACACGAGGAAACUUGUGCUAAUACCGGAUAAGUCUUUACGGAGAAAGCUUUAUGCACCAUUGGAUGAGCCUGCACUUGAUUAGUUUGUUGGUGGGGUAAUGGCCUACCAAGACUGUGAUCAAUAGCUGAUUUGAGAGGAUGAUCAGCCACAUUGGGACUGAGACACGGCCCAAACUCCUACGGGAGGCAGCAGUGGGGAAUCUUGCACAAUGGAGGAAACUCUGAUGCAGCGAUGCCGCGUGAGUGAAGAAGGCCUUUGGGUUGUAAAGCUCUUUCGUCGGGGAAGAAAAUGACUGUACCCGAAUAAGAAGGUCCGGCUAACUUCGUGCCAGCAGCCGCGGUAAUACGAAGGGACCUAGCGUAGUUCGGAAUUACUGGGCUUAAAGAGUUCGUAGGUGGUUGAAAAAGUUGGUGGUGAAAUCCCAGAGCUUAACUCUGGAACUGCCAUCAAAACUUUUCAGCUAGAGUAUGAUAGAGGAAAGCAGAAUUUCUAGUGUAGAGGUGAAAUUCGUAGAUAUUAGAAAGAAUACCAAUUGCGAAGGCAGCUUUCUGGAUCAUUACUGACACUGAGGAACGAAAGCAUGGGUAGCGAAGAGGAUUAGAUACCCUCGUAGUCCAUGCCGUAAACGAUGUGUGUUAGACGUUGGAAAUUUAUUUUCAGUGUCGCAGCGAAAGCGAUAAACACACCGCCUGGGGAGUACGACCGCAAGGUUAAAACUCAAAUGAAUUGACGGGGACCCGCACAAGUAGUGGAGCAUGUGGUUUAAUUCGAAGAUACGCGCAGAACCUUACCAACACUUGACAUGUUCGUCGCGACUCUAAGAGAUUAGAGUUUUCGGUUCGGCCGGACGAAACACAGGUGCUGCAUGGCUGUCGUCAGCUCGUGUCGUGAGAUGUUGGGUUAAGUCCCGCAACGAGCGCAACCCUCACUUUUAGUUGCCAUCAUUAAGUUGGGCACUCUGAAAGAACUGCCAGUGAUAAGCUGGAGGAAGGUGGGGAUGACGUCAAGUCCUCAUGGCCCUUACGUGUUGGGCUACACACGUGCUACAAUGGUAUCUACAACAGGAAGCAAAACGGCAACGUUAAGCAAAUCCCAAAAAGAUACCUCAGUUCGGAUUGCACUCUGCAACUCGAGUGCAUGAAGCUGGAAUUACUAGUAAUCGUGGAUCAGCGUGCCACGGUGAAUGCGUUCCCGGGUCUUGCACUCACCGCCCGUCAAGGG
RNAcentral lists this ribosomal RNA (1329 nucleotides) under uncultured Alphaproteobacteria bacterium. RNAcentral describes it as "bacterial SSU rRNA". It matches the Rfam family "Bacterial small subunit ribosomal RNA", at positions 27 to 1403 of the family's 1533-position model. The record is from RNAcentral. Lineage: Bacteria; Pseudomonadati; Pseudomonadota; Alphaproteobacteria.